RNAcentral lists this transfer RNA (72 nucleotides) under Planctomycetia bacterium. RNAcentral describes it as "tRNA-Arg". It matches the Rfam family "tRNA". From Rfam's summary of the family: Transfer RNA (tRNA) molecules are approximately 80 nucleotides in length. Their secondary structure includes four short double-helical elements and three loops (D, anti-codon, and T loops). The record is from RNAcentral. Lineage: Bacteria; Pseudomonadati; Planctomycetota; Planctomycetia.
GCCCUGAUGGUGAAACGGAAAUCAUGCCUCGCUUCGAACGAGGAGGUCCGGGUUCGACUCCUGGUCGGGGUA